RNAcentral lists this ribosomal RNA (450 nucleotides) under uncultured bacterium. RNAcentral's name for it is "partial 16S ribosomal RNA". It matches the Rfam family "Bacterial small subunit ribosomal RNA", at positions 354 to 796 of the family's 1533-position model. The record is from RNAcentral.
GUGGGGAAUUUUGGACAAUGGGCGCAAGCCUGAUCCAGCAAUGCCGCGUGCAGGAAGAAGGCCUUCGGGUUGUAAACUGCUUUUGUACGGAACGAAAAGGCUCUGGUUAAUACCUGGGGCUCAUGACGGUACCGUAAGAAUAAGCACCGGCUAACUACGUGCCAGCAGCCGCGGUAAUACGUAGGGUGCAAGCGUUAAUCGGAAUUACUGGGCGUAAAGCGUGCGCAGGCGGUUUUGUAAGACAGAGGUGAAAUCCCCGGGCUCAACCUGGGAAUUGCCUUUGUGACUGCAAGGCUGGAGUGCGGCAGAGGGGGAUGGAAUUCCGCGUGUAGCAGUGAAAUGCGUAGAUAUGCGGAGGAACACCGAUGGCGAAGGCAAUCCCCUGGGCCUGCACUGACGCUCAUGCACGAAAGCGUGGGGAGCAAACAGGAUUAGAAACCCUAGUAGUCC